AUGCGAGGCCCUGCCCCCGUACCCCCGCCGUCAUCGUCUGGAGGAGCCCACCAUCACAGCCGGGGGAGCGGGGCUCCACUCCCCCCAGAAGUGGAAGACAGCAUCCCGGAGCCUGUUGUCGUGGUGGGGCGGACCUGGGCAGGGGACUUUUGUCAUGUUUCUGUCACUGUUGAGGGGGUGGCCUGUUUGGCUUUAGUCGAUACAGGGUCUACAGUGACCCUGGUGAGGCCAGACAUUUUGCCAAACUGGACAGUAGUCCCACCUACAACUGUGCAGCUCCGCACAGUCACGGGGGAGAGGGCUCCCAUGAAAGGGAAGGGGUUGUUGUCCAUCAGGGUGGGGGAAAAGACUGUCCUCCACCCAGUGUGGGUAGCAGCUGUGCAGGUCCCCUGUAUCCCAGGGCUGGACUUCCUGCGGUGCAUAGGCUGCCAGCUGGACCUGGAGAGGGGGGCUUUUGGCUUCCAAGGAGGGCCCACAGUCUAUAUGGCCCCGCCAAACACCUCCUACAUCCGGCCCCCACCGACAACAGCUCAGAUGGACCAGUCACACGUCCCCGGCCCCCUUUACCCCCUUGCAAAGACCUUCCAACCACCCUUUCUUCCCGAUCCCUGUCCAUUGACCAAGUCCUCCUUCCGGAAUCCUUCCCCCUCCCUCCCACCCCCUCGUGUCAAUGUUUCGGCCCCUGCAGACUACUCCCUUGCCACCCCGGCAUCCCACUCCAUGAGCCUGGGCCCCUUCCCCUGCCCUGCCCAGCUUCCCCAGACAGGUGAGGAGACUGUGCUGUCUACACUGCGGGCAAUUUGGCAGAGGCACUGUGAUGGACUGGACCCUCAACAGCAGGAGCAGCUGUGGCGACUACUGGCGGAGUUUAAGGACAGCUUUGCCUUGAAUGAGAGCAAUGUGGGUCAAACGCACCUGGUGCAGCAUGAAAUCGACGCUGGGGAUGCCAGGCCCAUCAGAAUGCGACUGCGUCGCCUGCCCUUGGCCCGCCAGGAGGCUGCGGACCGGGCAUUGUGGGAGAUGCAGCAGGCAGGCUUCAUAGAACCCUCAGAUAGUCCCUGGGCAGCAGCCUUGGUGAUGGUGCCUAAGAAAGGGGGUAAGUGGAGAUUCUGUGUCGACUACAGGCCACUUAACGCAGUAACAAGGAAGGACUCCUACCCCAUUGAUGAAGCCUUAGAUGUCGUAGCUGGGUCGUCCUGGUUCUCCUCGCUCGAUCUCCGCUCUGGCUACUUCCAGUUCCCUCUCGCCCUUGAUGCCAGACCAAAGACUGCAUUCUGCACUAGCAGAGGAUUUUUUGGCAGUUUCGGGUCCUCGCUUUUGGCCUCUGCAAUGCACCUGCGACCUUCGAGAGGCUGA
Molecule: long non-coding RNA, 1356 nt
Filed under: Gadus morhua (Atlantic cod)
Lineage: Eukaryota; Metazoa; Chordata; Actinopteri; Gadiformes; Gadidae
Description: lncRNA (ENSGMOG00000036314.1)
Source: RNAcentral